AACGAGAGGACUGACAAGGCAAACAAGCAAGAUAGAAAAGAUUCGCCUAAGCACGCGAGGACUGAUAAGGCGAACAUAAAUGAGAAAUGAUUUUCCUAAGCAUGAGAGGACUGACAAGGAAAACAAGCAAGAUAGAAAGGAUUCGUCUAAGCACGAGAGGACUGAUAAGGCGAACAUGAAUGAGAAACGGUUUUCCUAAGCACGAGAGGACUGACAAGGAAAACAAGCAAGAUAUAAAGGAUAUUUGAAUCAAAGAGUGUGGCAUUAACCAAUAGAUGAUAUGAC
Molecule: long non-coding RNA, 285 nt
Filed under: Lathyrus oleraceus (garden pea)
Lineage: Eukaryota; Viridiplantae; Streptophyta; Magnoliopsida; Fabales; Fabaceae
Description: Pisum sativum (pea) long non-coding RNA (PSAT_LNC010776)
Source: RNAcentral